This 603-nucleotide ribosomal RNA is filed under the name Hanseniaspora uvarum. Its description in RNAcentral is "eukaryotic LSU rRNA". It matches the Rfam family "Eukaryotic large subunit ribosomal RNA", at positions 52 to 669 of the family's 3401-position model. The record is from RNAcentral. Lineage: Eukaryota; Fungi; Ascomycota; Saccharomycetes; Saccharomycodales; Saccharomycodaceae.
GGAGGAAAAGAAACCAACUGGGAUUACCUUAGUAACGGCGAGUGAAGCGGUAAAAGCUCAAAUUUGAAAUCUGGUACUUUCAGUGCCCGAGUUGUAAUUUGUAGAAUUUGUCUUUGAUUAGGUCCUUGUCUAUGUUCCUUGGAACAGGACGUCAUAGAGGGUGAGAAUCCCGUUUGGCGAGGAUACCUUUUCUCUGUAAGACUUUUUCGAAGAGUCGAGUUGUUUGGGAAUGCAGCUCAAAGUGGGUGGUAAAUUCCAUCUAAAGCUAAAUAUUGGCGAGAGACCGAUAGCGAACAAGUACAGUGAUGGAAAGAUGAAAAGAACUUUGAAAAGAGAGUGAAAAAGUACGUGAAAUUGUUGAAAGGGAAGGGCAUUUGAUCAGACAUGGUGUUUUUUGCAUGCACUCGCCUCUCGUGGGCUUGGGCCUCUCAAAAAUUUCACUGGGCCAACAUCAAUUCUGGCAGCAGGAUAAAUCAUUAAGAAUGUAGCUACUUCGGUAGUGUUAUAGCUUUUUGGAAUACUGUUAGCCGGGAUUGAGGACUGCGCUUCGGCAAGGAUGUUGGCAUAAUGGUUAAAUGCCGCCCGUCUUGACCACCGGAACCA